This 508-nucleotide ribosomal RNA is filed under the name uncultured bacterium. RNAcentral describes it as "partial 16S ribosomal RNA". It matches the Rfam family "Bacterial small subunit ribosomal RNA", at positions 28 to 507 of the family's 1533-position model. The record is from RNAcentral.
GACGAACGCUGGCGGCGUGCCUAAUACAUGCAAGUCGAACGCUUCUUCCCUCCCGAGUGCUUGCACUCAAUUGGAAAGAGGAGUGGCGGACGGGUGAGUAACACGUGGGUAACCUACCCAUCAGAGGGGGAUAACACUUGGAAACAGGUGCUAAUACCGCAUAACAGUUUAUGCCGCAUGGCAUAAGAGUGAAAGGCGCUUUCGGGUGUCGCUGAUGGAUGGACCCGCGGUGCAUUAGCUAGUUGGUGAGGUAACGGCUCACCAAGGCCACGAUGCAUAGCCGACCUGAGAGGGUGAUCGGCCACACUGGGACUGAGACACGGCCCAGACUCCUACGGGAGGCAGCAGUAGGGAAUCUUCGGCAAUGGACGAAAGUCUGACCGAGCAACGCCGCGUGAGUGAAGAAGGUUUUCGGAUCGUAAAACUCUGUUGUUAGAGAAGAACAAGGACGUUAGUAACUGAACGUCCCCUGACGGUAUCUAACCAGAAAGCCACGGCUAACUACGUG